RNAcentral lists this ribosomal RNA (253 nucleotides) under uncultured bacterium. RNAcentral's name for it is "partial 16S ribosomal RNA". It matches the Rfam family "Bacterial small subunit ribosomal RNA", at positions 524 to 776 of the family's 1533-position model. The record is from RNAcentral.
UACGUAGGGUGCAAGCGUUGUCCGGAAUUAUUGGGCGUAAAGAGCUCGUAGGCGGUUUGUUGCGUCGGCUGUGAAAUCCCGAGGCUCAACCUCGGGUCUGCAGUCGAUACGAGCAAACUAGAGUGUUGCAGGGGAGACUGGAAUUCCUGGUGUAGCGGUGAAAUGCGCAGAUAUCAGGAGGAACACCGAUGGCGAAGGCAGGUCUCUGGGCCACUACUGACGCUGAGGAACGAAAGCUAGGGGAGCAAACAGG